Molecule: ribosomal RNA, 460 nt
Filed under: uncultured bacterium
Lineage: Bacteria
Description: partial 16S ribosomal RNA
Rfam family: Bacterial small subunit ribosomal RNA
Source: RNAcentral
CCUACGGGUGGCAGCAGUGAGGAAUAUUGGUCAAUGGCCGGAAGGCUGAACCAGCCAAGCCGCGUGAGGGAGGAAGGCGCAGAGCGUCGCAGACCUCUUUUGCCGGGGGCAAAAAGGCCGGACUCGUCCGGUCCUGAGGGUACCCGGAGAAAAAGCAUCGGCUAACUCCGUGCCAGCAGCCGCGGUAAUACGGAGGAUGCGAGCGUUAUCCGGAUUCAUUGGGGGUAAAGGGAGCGUAGGCGGUUUAGCAAGUCAGAAGUGAAAGCCCGGGGCUCAACUCCGGGACUGCUUUUGAAACUGUUGAACUAGAUUGCAGGAGAGGUAAGUGGAAUUCCUAGUGUAGCGGUGAAAUGCGUAGAUAUUAGGAGGAACACCAGUGGCGAAGGCGGCUUACUGGACUGUAAAUGACGCUGAGGCUCGAAAGCGUGGGGAGCAAACAGGAUUAGAUACCCUAGUAGUC